RNAcentral lists this ribosomal RNA (240 nucleotides) under uncultured bacterium. RNAcentral describes it as "partial 16S ribosomal RNA". It matches the Rfam family "Bacterial small subunit ribosomal RNA", at positions 94 to 334 of the family's 1533-position model. The record is from RNAcentral.
AGCGGCGGACGGGUGAGUAACGCGUGGGUAACCUGCCUCAUACAGGGGGAUAACAGUUAGAAAUGACUGCUAAUACCGCAUAAGACCACGGUACCGCAUGGUACAGUGGUAAAAACUUCGGUGGUAUGAGAUGGACCCGCGUCUGAUUAGGUAGUUGGUGGGGUAACGGCCUACCAAGCCGACGAUCAGUAGCCGACCUGAGAGGGUGAUCGGCCACAUUGGGACUGAGACACGGCCCAG